Molecule: ribosomal RNA, 749 nt
Filed under: Stachybotrys elegans
Lineage: Eukaryota; Fungi; Ascomycota; Sordariomycetes; Hypocreales; Stachybotryaceae
Description: SSU rRNA
Rfam family: Bacterial small subunit ribosomal RNA
Source: RNAcentral
ACUAAAGGUGGAGAGAUAAAAUUCAAUUAUACCAUAGGGACUCGGUAAAGGCGAAGGCAGCUUUUUAUGUAAUAACUGACGUUGAAGGACGAAGGCACAGAGAACAAAAAGGAUUAGAGACCCAAGUAGUCUUUGCAGUAAAUGAUGAACGCCAUAGGUUAGAAUAAAAAUACAAUUAGUAGUUAUUACUUAGUAUUUAUUUGAUCUAUAAAUGAAAGUGUAAGCGUUUCACCUCAAGAGUAAUGUGGCAACGCAGGAACUGAAAUCACUAGACCGUUUCUAACAUCAGUAGUGAAGUAUGUUGUUUUAAUUCGAUGAUCCGCGAAAAACCUUACCAUAACUUGAAUAAAUACAGGAGUUGCACGGCUGUUUUCAGUUAAUGUUGUGAAACCGUGGUUUCCAUGGAAUUAACGAAAGCCCUGGCUUUAUUUUAAUCUAGUAGGUAUACCUUGGUAUACCGCUUAAGCAAUAACUGUUAUAUGCAGAGCUUGCUGAGUUUUUUUAUAAAGCAUUUCUUUCCGGACAUUGGAAAGAAAAAAGGGGUCAAAGACAAGUCAUCAUGGCCUUGAUGUUAUGGGCUAUAGACGUGCCACACAUGCCUAAACAAAGAGAUGCGAAAAUGUGAAUUUGAGCUAAUCUCUCAAAAUAGGAUAUAAUUAAAGGAUUGUAGUCUGAAAUUCGACUAUAUGAAUAAGUAAUUACUAGUAAUCGUGAAUCACCACGUCACGGUGAAUUUUUCUUGGAUUGGU